Molecule: ribosomal RNA, 253 nt
Filed under: uncultured bacterium
Lineage: Bacteria
Description: partial 16S ribosomal RNA
Rfam family: Bacterial small subunit ribosomal RNA
Source: RNAcentral
UACGUAGGUGGCAAGCGUUGUCCGGAUUUACUGGGCGUAAAGCGUAUGCAGGCGGAUCUUUAAGUAGAAAGUGAAAGGUUGGGGCUUAACUCCAACACUGCUCUCUAUACUGGAGGUCUUGAGUGCCGGAGAGGAAGAUGGAACUGCACGUGUAGCGGUGAAAUGCGUUGAGAUGUGCAGGAACACCAAUGGCGAAAGCAAUCUUCUGGACGGAUACUGACGCUGAGAUACGAAAGCCAAGGGAGCGAACAGG